RNAcentral lists this ribosomal RNA (119 nucleotides) under Cucumis melo (muskmelon). RNAcentral also lists the same sequence under 1 other name. Lineage: Eukaryota; Viridiplantae; Streptophyta; Magnoliopsida; Cucurbitales; Cucurbitaceae. The record is from RNAcentral.
UGGUGCAAUCAUGCUAGUAUUAAUGCACCGGAUCUCAAUAGAAUUUUGUUAGUUAAGCAUGCUUAAACUAUAGUAGUACCAAAUUAGGUAACUAUUUAGAAGUUUACGUGUUGUUGCAC